This 254-nucleotide ribosomal RNA is filed under the name uncultured bacterium. Its description in RNAcentral is "partial 16S ribosomal RNA". It matches the Rfam family "Bacterial small subunit ribosomal RNA", at positions 524 to 776 of the family's 1533-position model. The record is from RNAcentral.
GACGGAGGGCGCUAGCGUUGUUCGGAAUCACUGGGCGUAAAGGGCGCGUAGGCGGCCUUGCAAGUCGGUUGGUGAAAGCCCGGGGCUCAACCCCGGAGGUGCGGCCGAGACUGCAGGGCUGGAGGCCGGAAGAGGAGGGUGGAAUACCCAGUGUAGAGGUGAAAUUCGUAGAUAUUGGGUGGAACACCGGUGGCGAAAGCGGCUCUCUGGUCCGGACCUGACGCUGAGGCGCGAAGGCGUGGGGAGCAAACAGG